This 62-nucleotide transfer RNA is filed under the name Smaragdinella calyculata. RNAcentral describes it as "tRNA-Arg". The record is from RNAcentral. Lineage: Eukaryota; Metazoa; Mollusca; Gastropoda; Cephalaspidea; Smaragdinellidae.
UCCUAGAAAGCGAACUAUUCGCACUAAGUUUCGGCCUUAGCCUUGCUCUUUAGCUCUAGGAU